UACGUAGGGGGCAAGCGUUGUCCGGAUUUAUUGGGCGUAAAGAGCGUGUAGGCGGCUUGGUAAGUCCGCUGUGAAAGUCCAGGGCUCAACCCUGGAAAGCCGGUGGAAACUGUCAAGCUUGAGUCCGGAAGAGGCGAGUGGAAUUCCUGGUGUAGCGGUGAAAUGCGCAGAUAUCAGGAGGAACACCGAUGGCGAAGGCAGGUCUCUGGGCCAUUUCUGACACUGAGAAGCGAAAGCAUGGGGAGCGAACAGG
This 253-nucleotide ribosomal RNA is filed under the name uncultured bacterium. RNAcentral's name for it is "partial 16S ribosomal RNA". It matches the Rfam family "Bacterial small subunit ribosomal RNA", at positions 524 to 776 of the family's 1533-position model. The record is from RNAcentral.